GUUUAGCCCAGAUUGAAGUGGAAAUCCCGGAGUAAAAAAAGUAAAAGUUUCCUGUUUUAGAAAAGCGACUAACGGAAGCUCUUUCUAGGACUUUAAAACUUUACUUUUUUUUGCGAGGACUUGUAACGGAAAGCUGGAACUAAG
Molecule: unclassified non-coding RNA, 144 nt
Filed under: Flavobacterium micromati
Lineage: Bacteria; Pseudomonadati; Bacteroidota; Flavobacteriia; Flavobacteriales; Flavobacteriaceae
Description: Flavo-1 RNA
Source: RNAcentral